RNAcentral lists this ribosomal RNA (486 nucleotides) under uncultured bacterium. RNAcentral's name for it is "partial 16S ribosomal RNA". It matches the Rfam family "Bacterial small subunit ribosomal RNA", at positions 30 to 507 of the family's 1533-position model. The record is from RNAcentral.
AUUGAACGCUGGCGGCAUGCCUUACACAUGCGAGUCGAACGGCAGCACGGGUGCUUGCACCUGGUGGCGAGUGGCGAACGGGUGAGUAAUACAUCGGAACAUGUCCUGUAGUGGGGGAUAGCCCGGCGAAAGCCGGAUUAAUACCGCAUACGAUCUACGGAUGAAAGCGGGGGACCUUCGGGCCUCGCGCUAUAGGGUUGGCCGAUGGCUGAUUAGCUAGUUGGUGGGGUAAAGGCCUACCAAGGCGACGAUCAGUAGCUGGUCUGAGAGGACGACCAGCCACACUGGGACUGAGACACGGCCCAGACUCCUACGGGAGGCAGCAGUGGGGAAUUUUGGACAAAGGGCGAAAGCCUGAUCCAGCAAUGCCGCGUGUGUGAAGAAGGCCUUCGGGUUGUAAAGCACUUUUGUCCGGAAAGAAAUCCUUGGCUCUAAUACAGUCGGGGGAUGACGGUACCGGAAGAAUAAGCACCGGCUAACUACGUG